UACGGAGGGAGCUAGCGUUGUUCGGAAUUACUGGGCGUAAAGCGCACGUAGGCGGCUUGGCAAGUCGGAUGUGAAAUCCCUCGGCUCAACCAAGGAAGUGCAUCCGAAACUGCCGAGCUUGAGUACUUAAGAGGAUCGCGGAAUUCCCGGUGUAGAGGUGAAAUUCGUAGAUAUCGGGAGGAACACCAGUGGCGAAGGCGGCGAUCUGGGAAGAUACUGACGCUGAGGUGCGAAAGCGUGGGGAGCAAACAGG
RNAcentral lists this ribosomal RNA (253 nucleotides) under uncultured bacterium. RNAcentral's name for it is "partial 16S ribosomal RNA". It matches the Rfam family "Bacterial small subunit ribosomal RNA", at positions 524 to 776 of the family's 1533-position model. The record is from RNAcentral.